Molecule: ribosomal RNA, 449 nt
Filed under: uncultured bacterium
Lineage: Bacteria
Description: partial 16S ribosomal RNA
Rfam family: Bacterial small subunit ribosomal RNA
Source: RNAcentral
AACGAACGCUGGCGGCAUGCCUAACACAUGCAAGUCGAACGAGACCUUCGGGUCUAGUGGCGCACGGGUGCGUAACGCGUGGGAAUCUGCCCUUGGGUUCGGGAUAACAGUUGGAAACGACUGCUAAUACCGGAUGACGUCUUCGGACCAAAGAUUUAUCGCCCAGGGAUGAGCCCGCGUCGGAUUAGCUAGUUGGUAGGGUAAAAGCCUACCAAGGCGAUGAUCCGUAGCUGGGCUGAGAGGAUGAUCAUCCAAACUGGGACUGAGACACGGCCCAGACGUGUACGGGAGGCAGCAGUGGGAAAUAUUGGACAAUGAGGGAAAGCCUGAUCCAGAAAUGCCGCAGGAGUGAUGAAGGCCUUAGGGUUGUAAAGCUCUUUUACACGGGAUGAUAAUGACAGUAACGGGAGAAUAAGCCCCGGCUAAGUCCGUGCCAGCAGCCGCCGUAA